Molecule: ribosomal RNA, 492 nt
Filed under: Carinodrillia quadrilirata
Lineage: Eukaryota; Metazoa; Mollusca; Gastropoda; Neogastropoda; Pseudomelatomidae
Description: Crassispira quadrilirata partial 16S ribosomal RNA
Rfam family: Bacterial large subunit ribosomal RNA
Source: RNAcentral
AUAAGGAGUCGGGCCUGCCCAGUGAAGAUUUUUAACGGCCGCGGUACCCUGACCGUGCAAAGGUAGCAUAAUAAUUUGCCUUAUAAUUGAAGGCUAGUAUGAAUGGUCUGACAAGAACAUCACUGUCUCUUUAUAGCUUAUUAGAAUUUUAUUUUAAGGUGAAGAAGCCUUAAUACAAUUGAUAGACAAGAAGACCCUAUCGAGCUUAAAAUAACUUAGAAGAUACAGACAGCUAAUUAAUUCUAAAAAGAAACUUCUAAAAAUUUUGGUUGGGGCGACUGAGGAACAAUAAAAGCUUCCUUUAUUAUCUUUAAACUUAUAAGUCUUGAUCCAAACAUUUUGAUUAAGAAAAUUAGUUACCGUAGGGAUAACAGCAUUAUCCCUUUUGAGAGUUCUUAUCGAAAAAGGGGUUUGUGACCUCGAUGUUGGACCAGAAUGUCCUAAAGGUGCAGAAGCCUUUAAGGGUUGGUCUGUUCGACCAUUAAAAUUCUA